Molecule: non-coding RNA, 137 nt
Organism: Gossypium hirsutum (cotton)
Lineage: Eukaryota; Viridiplantae; Streptophyta; Magnoliopsida; Malvales; Malvaceae
Source: Rfam
UAUUACAAAUUUCUUCUAUUUCUACUGUUAAAAACUAGCGUGAUUAACGGAAUAAUCAAACAGUUACACUUGGCAUGCCACAUGUAACUUGUAUUGACGUACAUGGACCAAUUUUUAACUGGAUGAAAUUUUUAACA